This 253-nucleotide ribosomal RNA is filed under the name uncultured bacterium. RNAcentral describes it as "partial 16S ribosomal RNA". It matches the Rfam family "Bacterial small subunit ribosomal RNA", at positions 524 to 776 of the family's 1533-position model. The record is from RNAcentral.
UACGUAGGGGGCAAGCGUUGUCCGGAAUCAUUGGGCGUAAAGAGCGUGUAGGCGGCUCGGUAAGUCCGCUCUGAAAGCCCGGGGCUCAACCCCGGGAGGCGGGCGGAUACUGUCGGGCUAGAGUCCGGAAGAGGCGAGUGGAAUUCCUGGUGUAGCGGUGAAAUGCGCAGAUAUCAGGAAGAACACCCGUGGCGAAGGCGGCUUUCUGGGACGGUACUGACGCUGAGACGCGAAAGCGUGGGGAGCGAACAGG